This 2907-nucleotide ribosomal RNA is filed under the name Enterobacter ludwigii. RNAcentral describes it as "23S ribosomal RNA". It matches the Rfam family "Bacterial large subunit ribosomal RNA". RNAcentral also lists the same sequence under 1 other name. The record is from RNAcentral. Lineage: Bacteria; Pseudomonadati; Pseudomonadota; Gammaproteobacteria; Enterobacterales; Enterobacteriaceae.
GGUUAAGCGACUAAGCGUACACGGUGGAUGCCCUGGCAGUCAGAGGCGAUGAAGGACGUGCUAAUCUGCGAAAAGCGCCGGCGAGGUGAUAUGAACCUUUGACCCGGCGAUGUCCGAAUGGGGAAACCCAGUGUGUUCCGACACACUAUCGUUAACUGAAUACAUAGGUUAACGAGGCGAACCGGGGGAACUGAAACAUCUAAGUACCCCGAGGAAAAGAAAUCAACCGAGAUUCCCCCAGUAGCGGCGAGCGAACGGGGAGCAGCCCAGAGUCUGAAUCAGCUUGUGUGUUAGUGGAAGCGUCUGGAAAGUCGCACGGUACAGGGUGAAAGUCCCGUACACGAAAGCACACAGGCUGUGAACUCGAAGAGUAGGGCGGGACACGUGGUAUCCUGUCUGAAUAUGGGGGGACCAUCCUCCAAGGCUAAAUACUCCUGACUGACCGAUAGUGAACCAGUACCGUGAGGGAAAGGCGAAAAGAACCCCGGCGAGGGGAGUGAAAAAGAACCUGAAACCGUGUACGUACAAGCAGUGGGAGCCUCUUUUAUGGGGUGACUGCGUACCUUUUGUAUAAUGGGUCAGCGACUUAUAUUCUGUAGCAAGGUUAACCGUAUAGGGGAGCCGAAGGGAAACCGAGUCUUAACUGGGCGUUAAGUUGCAGGGUAUAGACCCGAAACCCGGUGAUCUAGCCAUGGGCAGGUUGAAGGUUGGGUAACACUAACUGGAGGACCGAACCGACUAAUGUUGAAAAAUUAGCGGAUGACUUGUGGCUGGGGGUGAAAGGCCAAUCAAACCGGGAGAUAGCUGGUUCUCCCCGAAAGCUAUUUAGGUAGCGCCUCGUGAACUCAUCUUCGGGGGUAGAGCACUGUUUCGGCUAGGGGGCCAUCCCGGCUUACCAACCCGAUGCAAACUACGAAUACCGAAGAAUGUUAUCACGGGAGACACACGGCGGGUGCUAACGUCCGUCGUGAAGAGGGAAACAACCCAGACCGCCAGCUAAGGUCCCAAAGUCAUGGUUAAGUGGGAAACGAUGUGGGAAGGCACAGACAGCCAGGAUGUUGGCUUAGAAGCAGCCAUCAUUUAAAGAAAGCGUAAUAGCUCACUGGUCGAGUCGGCCUGCGCGGAAGAUGUAACGGGGCUAAACCAUGCACCGAAGCUGCGGCAGCGACGCUUAUGCGUUGUUGGGUAGGGGAGCGUUCUGUAAGCCGUUGAAGGUGUCCUGUGAGGGGUGCUGGAGGUAUCAGAAGUGCGAAUGCUGACAUAAGUAACGAUAAAGCGGGUGAAAAGCCCGCUCGCCGGAAGACCAAGGGUUCCUGUCCAACGUUAAUCGGGGCAGGGUGAGUCGACCCCUAAGGCGAGGCCGAAAGGCGUAGUCGAUGGGAAACAGGUUAAUAUUCCUGUACUUGGUGUUACUGCGAAGGGGGGACGGAGAAGGCUAUGUUAGCCGGGCGACGGUUGUCCCGGUUUAAGCAUGUAGGCGGAGGUUCCAGGUAAAUCCGGUUCCUUAUUAACGCUGAGGUGUGAUGACGAGGCACUACGGUGCUGAAGUAACAAAUGCCCUGCUUCCAGGAAAAGCCUCUAAGCAUCAGGUAACAUCAAAUCGUACCCCAAACCGACACAGGUGGUCAGGUAGAGAAUACCAAGGCGCUUGAGAGAACUCGGGUGAAGGAACUAGGCAAAAUGGUGCCGUAACUUCGGGAGAAGGCACGCUGAUAUGUAGGUGAAGCCCCUGCGGGUGGAGCUGAAAUCAGUCGAAGAUACCAGCUGGCUGCAACUGUUUAUUAAAAACACAGCACUGUGCAAACACGAAAGUGGACGUAUACGGUGUGACGCCUGCCCGGUGCCGGAAGGUUAAUUGAUGGGGUUAGCGGUAACGCGAAGCUCUUGAUCGAAGCCCCGGUAAACGGCGGCCGUAACUAUAACGGUCCUAAGGUAGCGAAAUUCCUUGUCGGGUAAGUUCCGACCUGCACGAAUGGCGUAAUGAUGGCCAGGCUGUCUCCACCCGAGACUCAGUGAAAUUGAACUCGCUGUGAAGAUGCAGUGUACCCGCGGCAAGACGGAAAGACCCCGUGAACCUUUACUAUAGCUUGACACUGAACACUGGUCCUUGAUGUGUAGGAUAGGUGGGAGGCUUUGAAGCGUGGACGCCAGUCUGCGUGGAGCCAACCUUGAAAUACCACCCUUUAAUGGCUGGUGUUCUAACGUAGACCCGUGAUCCGGGUUGCGGACAGUGUCUGGUGGGUAGUUUGACUGGGGCGGUCUCCUCCCAAAGAGUAACGGAGGAGCACGAAGGUUAGCUAAUCCUGGUCGGACAUCAGGAGGUUAGUGCAAUGGCAUAAGCUAGCUUGACUGCGAGAGUGACGGCUCGAGCAGGUGCGAAAGCAGGUCAUAGUGAUCCGGUGGUUCUGAAUGGAAGGGCCAUCGCUCAACGGAUAAAAGGUACUCCGGGGAUAACAGGCUGAUACCGCCCAAGAGUUCAUAUCGACGGCGGUGUUUGGCACCUCGAUGUCGGCUCAUCACAUCCUGGGGCUGAAGUAGGUCCCAAGGGUAUGGCUGUUCGCCAUUUAAAGUGGUACGCGAGCUGGGUUUAGAACGUCGUGAGACAGUUCGGUCCCUAUCUGCCGUGGGCGCUGGAGAAUUGAGGGGGGCUGCUCCUAGUACGAGAGGACCGGAGUGGACGCAUCACUGGUGUUCGGGUUGUCAUGCCAAUGGCACUGCCCGGUAGCUAAAUGCGGAAGAGAUAAGUGCUGAAAGCAUCUAAGCACGAAACUUGCCCCGAGAUGAGUUCUCCCUGAGACUUUAAGUCUCCUGAAGGAACGUUGAAGACUACGACGUUGAUAGGUCGGGUGUGUAAGCGCAGCGAUGCGUUGAGCUAACCGAUACUAAUGAACCGUGAGGCUUAACCUU